UGGGGAAUAUUGCACAAUGGGCGAAAGCCUGAUGCAGCGACGCCGCGUGAGGGAUGACGGCCUUCGGGUUGUAAACCUCUUUCAGUAGGGACGAAGCGCAAGUGACGGUACCUGCAGAAGAAGCACCGGCUAACUACGUGCCAGCAGCCGCGGUAAUACGUAGGGUGCGAGCGUUGUCCGGAAUUACUGGGCGUAAAGAGCUCGUAGGCGGUUUGUCACGUCGUCUGUGAAAUCCUAGGGCUUAACCCUGGACGUGCAGGCGAUACGGGCUGACUUGAGGACUACAGGGGAGACUGGAAUUUCUGGUGUAGCGGUGGAAUGCACAGAUAUCAGGAAGAACACCGAUGGCGAAGGCAGGUCUCUGGGUAGUAACUGACGCUGAGGAGCGAAAGCAUGGGUAGAGAACAGG
Molecule: ribosomal RNA, 409 nt
Filed under: bacterium
Lineage: Bacteria
Description: partial 16S ribosomal RNA
Rfam family: Bacterial small subunit ribosomal RNA
Source: RNAcentral